Molecule: RNA transcript, 2308 nt
Organism: Musa acuminata AAA Group (dessert banana)
Lineage: Eukaryota; Viridiplantae; Streptophyta; Magnoliopsida; Zingiberales; Musaceae
Gene name: malate dehydrogenase, chloroplastic-like
Exons: 5
Source: RefSeq, a predicted model, not a curated record
GGGCGCCGCUCGUUGGUCACUGGAAAGUUGGCUUCGGUGAGAAGGCACCAAAAGAUAUUUGCUACCAAACAAGAAAGUAGAGGGCCCAUUUAGCCUUUCUUCUGCUUUUGGUGUUGCUAAAAGGAAACAGGAACAUCACCAUGGAGCACAUGUGAUUGGGGUUUUGGCUGGAAGAAUUAGGGUGGAUCAACAGUGGCCUGGGUAUAACAAGGGCCAUUUAACCAUCGUGGACUUGAAGAAUUCGAAAGAAGUUUGUAAAUCUCUUCCAAGGGUUUAUACUCUUAGCUCCCUGUAUUGUGGUGUACGAUGGCAUUGACAGCACUUACAACUGUGUCUAUUGGAUCAGUUUGUGCUCAACCUAGGUUGGGAGCAAGGCCCAAGGCCUCUGGCUUUGGUUUUACUUGCUCAAAGUCCUUCAAUGUUUUCAGUGGCCUGAAGGCAGCAUCCUCAGUUGGCAUUGAAGCAGAUACAUCCUUUUUGGGCAAGGAGGACAAUGCUUCUCUCCAGGCAUCUUUUGUUCCAAAGAUUAAACCAAAACAAGUUUUUCUAAAUCAACUCCACCCCCAUGCAUCCUCGUUUAAGGUGGCUGUCCUUGGGGCUGCUGGUGGGAUUGGCCAACCUCUAGGACUUCUGAUUAAGAUGUCUCCUCUGGUCUCAGCAUUGCAUCUUUAUGAUAUUGCGAAUGUUAAAGGAGUAGCUGCAGAUCUCAGCCAUUGCAAUAGCCCUGCUCAAGUUUUGGAUUUCACUGGACAAUCAGAAUUAGGCAAAUGUCUGAAAGGAGUUGAUGUUGUUGUCAUUCCCGCAGGAGUCCCACGGAAGCCAGGCAUGACACGGGAUGAUUUAUUCAACAUCAAUGCUGGCAUUGUAAAGACGCUGAUUGAGGCUGUUGCAGACAAUUGUCCUGAUGCCUUCAUCCACAUCAUCAGCAACCCAGUAAACUCCACUGUUCCCAUAGCUGCAGAGGUACUCAAGCAAAAGGGAGUCUAUGAUCCUAAGAAGCUUUUUGGUGUGACCACCCUUGAUGUUGUUAGAGCUAACACUUUUGUUGCUCAAAAGAAGAACCUAAAGCUUGUCGACGUGGAUGUACCAGUUGUAGGGGGUCAUGCUGGCAUUACUAUUUUACCAUUGUUGUCGAAGACAAGGCCAUCAACAACAUUUACCGAUGAUGAGGUUGAAGAGCUGACUCUAAGAAUACAGAAUGCUGGCACAGAGGUUGUCGAGGCAAAAGCCGGUGCUGGAUCCGCAACCCUGUCCAUGGCCUAUGCAGCAGCACGGUUUGUUGAAGCGUCACUUCAUGCUCUCGACGGCGACGGGGAUGUUUAUGAGUGCUCCUUUGUAGAGUCUGAUCUAACUGAGCUGCCUUUCUUUGCAUCAGGAGUCAAGAUCGGAAAGAAAGGUAUAGAAGCCAUUGUAUCUUCUGAUCUCCAGGGUCUGACAGAGUAUGAGACCAAGGCACUGGAAGCAUUAAAGCCGGAGUUGCAGGCUAGCAUUGAGAAGGGCAUGGCAUUUGUUCACAAGCAGGCGGUAAAUGCUGAAUCUGCUUAAGUUUUGAUAUUGUUUCUUUUUUUUUCUUUUAUCAGUAGUCUUGCAAGAACAGAAUAAAAACAGGGAUGGUCAAGGCCGUCCAGUUUGAUGCUAAAGCAGGUUUCCAUGUUCUAAGCUCGAGAAGUUAUGCCCUUGAGGAGAUUCGAGAGAAGUUAAGCUGUUUUCAGCUAUAUUAGAGGGAAGAGAGAACUGAGCAAUGACCCCGAGGAAGGACGGUUCUUUCGGCAACUGCAUUGGGGAACGGAACGGAAUAGACGAAGGAAGCGCCGGCAUCUCAGAAGGACGGGAACUCGAUCUCGGAACCACACCUCUUCCGUGGAAGCACCGGGCACUCGAUGAGUUUCGCCGCCGAAGUGUCGACGCACAGGUAAACCUGAUACAGCUGGCUGUUCCCCCCCUCGUCGUUGUUGCACUCGAUCCACGGGGUGUAACCGAUCGCGUCGCUGAUGGCGCUCACGACGCUCUUCAAGCUGUAAUCGCCACCAUCGGGCUGAAUCCCUGCAGCAGCAGCUUCCAUCUCAGACGACCACCACAAGGCUUCGCUUGAGAGCUGCUUGGAAGUAGCCGUGCUGGUCGAGGACGGACUCGGAGCAGGUGCCGUGCUUCUCCCACUCGUGGGUCCAGAACUGGGUGCCGUCGCUGCUUGGGCACGCUAGGGUCGGCCACUUCUGUCGCAUGGUACUCAACAGGUCCCUCACCUGCAACCAAAGCAACAAGACGGCUCCAUAGGAUGCCACCAUUGCACGAACAAAAAACACAAAAA